This 429-nucleotide ribosomal RNA is filed under the name Bacteroidota bacterium. RNAcentral describes it as "Bacteroidetes bacterium partial 16S ribosomal RNA". It matches the Rfam family "Bacterial small subunit ribosomal RNA", at positions 355 to 776 of the family's 1533-position model. Lineage: Bacteria; Pseudomonadati; Bacteroidota. The record is from RNAcentral.
UAGGGAAUCUUCCGCAAUGGGCGAAAGCCUGACGGAGCAACGCCGCGUGAGUGAUGAAGGUCUUCGGAUCGUAAAACUCUGUUAUUAGGGAAGAACAAAUGUGUAAGUAACUAUGCACGUCUUGACGGUACCUAAUCAGAAAGCCACGGCUAACUACGUGCCAGCAGCCGCGGUAAUACGUAGGUGGCAAGCGUUAUCCGGAAUUAUUGGGCGUAAAGCGCGCGUAGGCGGUUUUUUAAGUCUGAUGUGAAAGCCCACGGCUCAACCGUGGAGGGUCAUUGGAAACUGGAAAACUUGAGUGCAGAAGAGGAAAGUGGAAUUCCAUGUGUAACGGUGAAAUGCGCAGAGAUAUGGAGGAACACCAGUGGCGAAGGCGACUUUCUGGUCUGUAACUGACGCUGAUGUGCGAAAGCGUGGGAAUCAAACAGG